GAACCGUCAACGGCUGAAAACGUCCCGGAUGACUUGUGGAUAGGGGUGAAAGGUCAAUCAAACCCGGUGAUAGCUGGUUCUCCCCGAAAUAUAUUGAGGUAUAGCCUCGGGAAUUGAUUAGCGGAGGUAAAGCACUGACAGAGCUAGGGGUCCUACCAGAUUACCAAACUCUAUCAAACUCAGAAUGCCGCUUAAUCGUAUCCCGGGAGUCAGACGGCGGGUGCGAAGGUUCGUCGUCNAAAGGGAAACAGCCCAGACCAACAGCUAAGGUCUCCAAAUCCAUGCUCAGUGGUGAAGGUAGUGGAACCGUUUAGACAGCCAGGACGUUNGCUUAGAAGCAGCCAUCGUUUAAAGAAAGCGUAAUAGCUCACUGGUCUAAUGGCUCUGCGCCGAANAUGUAACGGGGCUAAGCAUGGUACCGAAGCUUUGGCAAUCCCCUUUGGGGAUUGGGUAGGGGAGCGUUCGCUGCGGGCUGAAGGUGUGCCGGAAGGCAUGCUGGACUGCAGUGAAGUGAUUAUGCUGACAUGAGUAACGAUNAAAUAUGUGAAAAACAUAUUCGCCGAAAACCCGAGGUUUCCUGGGUUAAGGUAAUCUUCCCAGGGUUAGUCGGAUCCUAAGGUGAGGGUGAAAGCCGUAACCGAUGGAAAACAGGUUAAUAUUCCUGUACUUGUUGUGUAGCGCGAUGGAGGGACGCAGGAAGAUAGGCGGGCCGGGUGUUGGAUAUCCCGGUGCAAGCGUGUAGGAAUAUCCGGUAGGCCAAUCCGCCGGACGAAUCUGAGACGCGAGUCCGUGGGCGCAAGCCCUGAAGCCGUUGAGUCUAUGCUGCCUAGAAAAGCUCCUAAGUUUAUCCACAGCAAUCCGUACCGCAAACCAACUCAGGUGGGUGGGAUGAACAAUCCAAGGCGCUCGAGAGAACUCUGGCCAAGGAACUCGGCAAAAUAACCCCGUAACUUCGGAAGAAGGGGUGCUCUCUAGGGUGACAUGUUUAACAUAUGAAGCCCCGGGGAGCCGCAGUGAAUUGGUGGUGGCGACUGUUUACUAAAAACAUAGGUCUGUGCGAAGUCCUAAAGACGACGUAUACGGACUGACGCCUGCCCGGUGCUGGAAGGUUAAAAGGAGGGGUCAGCGCAAGCAAAGCUCCGAAUUGAAGCCCCAGUAAACGGCGGCCGUAACUAUAACGGUCCUAAGGUAGCGAAAUUCCUUGUCGGGUAAGUUCCGACCUGCACGAAUGGCGUAACGAUCUCCACACUGUCUCGGCCAGAGACUCGGUGAAAUUGCAGUCGCGGUGAAAAUUCCGUGUACCCGCAGAAAGACGGAAAGACCCUGUGCACCUUUACUAUAGCUUGACAUUGGAUUUUGGGCCUGCAUGUGUAGGAUAGGUGGGAGGCUGUGAACCCUGUACGCCAGUAUGGGGGGAGCCAUCCUUGAAAUACCACCCUUGCAUGUUUAAGAUCCUAACUUCUUCCGGUUAUCCCGGAGAAAGACAGUGUCUGGCGGGUAGUUUGACUGGGGCGGUCGCCUCCUAAAGUGUAACGGAGGCAUGCAAAGGUUCCCUCAGCCUGAUCGGAAACCAGGCGCUGAGUGCAAACGCAUAAGGGAGCUUGACUGUAAGAGAGACAUCUCGAACAGGAACGAAAGUUGGCGUUAGUGAUCCGGUGGUCCCGAAUGGAAGGGCCAUCGCUCAUUGGAUAAAAGGUACGCCGGGGAUAACAGGCUGAUCGCAUCCAAGAGUUCACAUCGACGAUGCGGUUUGGCACCUCGAUGUCGGCUCAUCACAUCCUGGGGCUGAAGCAGGUCCCAAGGGUACGGCUGUUCGCCGUUUAAAGUGGUACGCGAGCUGGGUUUAAAACGUCGUGAGACAGUUUGGUCCCUAUCUUCUGUGGGCGAAGGAGAAUUGAGAGGGCCUGUCCCUAGUACGAGAGGACCGGGAUGGACGCACCCCUGGUGAUCCUGUUGUCGCGCCAGCGGCAUAGCAGGGUAGCUAUGUGCGGAAGGGAUAACCGCUGAAAGCAUCUAAGCGGGAAGCCUGCCUCAAGAUAAGUUCUCCC
RNAcentral lists this ribosomal RNA (2048 nucleotides) under human gut metagenome. Its description in RNAcentral is "bacterial LSU rRNA". It matches the Rfam family "Bacterial large subunit ribosomal RNA", at positions 776 to 2815 of the family's 2925-position model. The record is from RNAcentral.